UACGGAGGGUGCAAGCGUUAUCCGGAUUCACUGGGUUUAAAGGGAGCGUAGGAGGGCAGGUAAGUCAGUGGUGAAAUCUUCGAGCUUAACUCGGAAACUGCCGUUGAUACUAUCUGUCUUGAAUACCGUGGAGAUGAGCGGAAUAUGUCAUGUAGCGGUGAAAUGCUUAGAUAUGACAUAGAACACCAAUUGCGAAGGCAGCUCGCUACACGAAUAUUGACUCUGAGGCACGAAAGCGUGGGGAUCAAACAGG
Molecule: ribosomal RNA, 253 nt
Filed under: uncultured bacterium
Lineage: Bacteria
Description: partial 16S ribosomal RNA
Rfam family: Bacterial small subunit ribosomal RNA
Source: RNAcentral